GACGAACGCUGGCGGCGUGCUUAACACAUGCAAGUCGAACGGAAAGGCCCUGCUUUUGUGGGGUGCUCGAGUGGCGAACGGGUGAGUAACACGUGAGUAACCUGCCCUUGACUUUGGGAUAACUUCAGGAAACUGGGGCUAAUACCGGAUAGGAGCUCCUGCUGCAUGGUGGGGGUUGGAAAGUUUCGGCGGUUGGGGAUGGACUCGCGGCUUAUCAGCUUGUUGGUGGGGUAGUGGCUUACCAAGGCUUUGACGGGUAGCCGGCCUGAGAGGGUGACCGGCCACAUGGGGACUGAGAUACGGCCCAGACUCCUACGGGAGGCAGCAGUGGGGAAUAUUGCACAAUGGGCGGAAGCCUGAUGCAGCAACGCCGCGUGCGGGAUGACGGCCUUCGGGUUGUAAACCGCUUUCGCCUGUGUCGAAGCGUGAGUGACGGUAAUGGGUAAAGAAGCACCGGCUAACUACGUG
Molecule: ribosomal RNA, 468 nt
Filed under: uncultured bacterium
Lineage: Bacteria
Description: partial 16S ribosomal RNA
Rfam family: Bacterial small subunit ribosomal RNA
Source: RNAcentral